This 525-nucleotide ribosomal RNA is filed under the name uncultured bacterium. Its description in RNAcentral is "bacterial SSU rRNA". It matches the Rfam family "Bacterial small subunit ribosomal RNA", at positions 777 to 1307 of the family's 1533-position model. The record is from RNAcentral.
AAUAGAUACCCAGGUAGUCCACGCCGUAAACGAUGGAUACUAGCUGUUUGAGCGCAAGUUUGAGUGGCUAAGCGAAAGUGAUAAGUAUCCCACCUGGGGAGUACGGGCGCAAGCCUGAAACUCAAAGGAAUUGACGGGGGCCCGCACAAGCGGUGGAGCAUGUGGUUUAAUUCGAUGAUACGCGAGGAACCUUACCAGGGCUUAAAUGUAGAUUGACGUAUUUGGAAACAGAUAUUUCUUCGGACAAUUUACAAGGUGCUGCAUGGUUGUCGUCAGCUCGUGCCGUGAGGUGUCAGGUUAAGUCCUAUAACGAGCGCAACCCCUGUUGUUAGUUGCCAGCGAGUAAUGUCGGGAACUCUAGCAAGACUGCCAGUGUAAACUGUGAGGAAGGUGGGGAUGACGUCAAAUCAUCACGGCCCUUACGUCCUGGGCCACACACGUGCUACAAUGGCCGGUACAGAGAGCAGCCACUUAGCGAUAAGGAGCGAAUCUAUAAAAGCCGGUCACAGUUCGGAUCGGAGUCUG